GACGAACGCUGGCGGCGUGCUUAACACAUGCAAGUCGAACGGAAAGGCCCUGCUUUUGUGGGGUGCUCGAGUGGCGAACGGGUGAGUAACACGUGAGUAACCUGCCCUUGACUUUGGGAUAACUUCAGGAAACUGGGGCUAAUACCGGAUAGGAGCUCCUGCUGCAUGGUGGGGGUUGGAAAGUUUCGGCGGUUGGGGAUGGACUCGCGGCUUAUCAGCUUGUUGGUGGGGUAGUGGCUUACCAAGGCUUUGACGGGUAGCCGGCCUGAGAGGGUGACCGGCCACAUUGGGACUGAGAUACGGACCAGACUCCUACGGGCGGCAGCAGUGGGGAAUAUUGCACAAUGGGCGGAAGCCUGAUGCAGCAACGCCGCGUGCGGGAUGCCGGCCUUCGGGUUGUAAACCGCUUUCGCCUGUGACGAAGCGUGAGUGACGGUAAUGGGUAAAGAAGCACCGGCUAACUACGUG
Molecule: ribosomal RNA, 468 nt
Filed under: uncultured bacterium
Lineage: Bacteria
Description: partial 16S ribosomal RNA
Rfam family: Bacterial small subunit ribosomal RNA
Source: RNAcentral